UAUGUUGGGUAUCAAAAAGGAUAUAAAAGAU
This 31-nucleotide non-coding RNA is filed under the name Mus musculus (house mouse). Lineage: Eukaryota; Metazoa; Chordata; Mammalia; Rodentia; Muridae. The record is from RNAcentral.